UACGUAGGAUGCAAGCGUUGUCCGGAAUUAUUGGGCGUAAAGAGCUCGUAGGCGGUCUGUCACGUCGGCUGUGAAAACCCGAGGCUCAACCUCGGGCCUGCAGUCGAUACGGGCAAACUAGAGUGUUGCAGGGGAGACUGGAAUUCCUGGUGUAGCGGUGAAAUGCGCAGAUAUCAGGAGGAACACCGGUGGCGAAGGCGGGUCUCUGGGCAACAACUGACGCUGAGGAGCGAAAGCGUGGGGAGCGAACAGG
This 253-nucleotide ribosomal RNA is filed under the name uncultured bacterium. RNAcentral's name for it is "partial 16S ribosomal RNA". It matches the Rfam family "Bacterial small subunit ribosomal RNA", at positions 524 to 776 of the family's 1533-position model. The record is from RNAcentral.